This 253-nucleotide ribosomal RNA is filed under the name uncultured bacterium. RNAcentral describes it as "partial 16S ribosomal RNA". It matches the Rfam family "Bacterial small subunit ribosomal RNA", at positions 524 to 776 of the family's 1533-position model. The record is from RNAcentral.
UACGUAGGGUGCAAGCGUUGUCCGGAAUUAUUGGGCGUAAAGAGCUCGUAGGUGGUUUGUCGCGUUGUUCGUGAAACUCACAGCUUAACUGUGGGCGUGCGGGCGAUACGGGCAGACGUUGAGUACUGCAGGGGAGACUGGAAUUCCUGGUGUAGCGGUGGAAUGCGCAGAUAUCAGGAGGAACACCGGUGGCGAAGGCGGGUCUCUGGGCCGAUACUGACGCUGAGGAGCGAAAGCGUGGGGAGCGAACAGG